Molecule: long non-coding RNA, 982 nt
Organism: Passer domesticus (house sparrow)
Lineage: Eukaryota; Metazoa; Chordata; Aves; Passeriformes; Passeridae
Exons: 3
Source: RefSeq, a predicted model, not a curated record
CUGCCUUUCCACACCAGCACCCAGGAGGAGCAAAGCAGAACUAGCAAGAGGACUUGUGAUUUGGUAUGUUCUUCUUGUCUGGAAAGGAGCAAUGAAUUUCCAGUCCUAGAGAGCUGAACUCUACCACAUCACCUGGCUACAGUGUGAAAUCCCUUCAGGACAGUUUUGGAGAUGGUGAUGGCACACAUACUGGUUACCUCAAAGUACUUAAAAAUCUGCCAAACUGCUCCAGCAGCAUUUGAGUUGGACCUGUCAGCAAGGCUCUGCUAAGCCAGAACAUGCUACAGCCAUUGAACUUCAGAUGCAAAAGCCUCUGAUGGAAGAAGUGACCAGGAACAGCAGCCGAGAGCUCAAGAGCUAAUUGGAGCAGUCAUUUCUUGAUUCUCUGAACAGCAAGUUUGUUUAAAUGUAACAGUGGAGGCAGUCUGGGUGUUUCACAGUGUCAGUACUUUCUGCUUUUCUGGACCAACCAGUCUGGUGUCUUUCUGUAAAUCUAAAAGCAGCAGCUAAAUUUUGUAUAAUGGAUUUUUUUAAUCAUUUUUGCCUGCAAAGGAAAUGGUUUGUGAUUUUAAAAGAAUAUACAUUUGGCAUUUUUGUGGUGGGGAAAUGAGUAUUAUUUAUGUUAGCCUCUCAGUUGCUAUAAAACAAUGCCAACCAAGGGAUCUACACUGAUUUAAGAAAGAAAAUGUACAGAAUUGUCUGCAUCUGUUCUGCAUUCUGUCUCCCUUUGUCCACCAGUUUUUCUUUGAAGAGACAUUAUUGUGUGAGCAGCCAGCAUUUGGCCGCUCACACUUCUUUUCUGUGGCUACAGUUUAGACACUUCACCACAGUCUUUCAAUCCAUGAGGAGCAUUUUAAAGAAACAGAAUACAAGUGCUGUAACUGGAAUUCAGCUCCAAAAGCUUGAACUAACAUUCUGCUGACAAUGAGAACUGUGUUAUGAUGCAGAUUACACAAUUACUUUUUGAAUUUUACGAAAACCC